ACGAAUGGUAAGCUAGAUGCAAAUGUGUACGGUAAGGAUUAUGACCAGAAGGCCUAUCGUUCUAUGAUCGGUUCCCUUCUCUAUCUAUGUGCAUCCAGACCUGACGUUAUGUUGAGUAUUUGCAUGUGUGCCCGGUAUCAAGCUACACCGAAAGAAUCGCAUCACCACGCAGUCAAGCGCAUUCUGAGAUAUUUGGCUCACAACCCCACCUUAGGUUUAUGGUAUCCUAAGGGAGCACAGUUUGAUCUCGUUGGAUAUUUAGACUCAGAUUGGGCUGGUGACUUGGUAGAUAGGAAAUCUACUUCAGGGACAUGUCAUUUCCUCGGUAGAUCAUUGGCCUGUUGGUCAUCAAGGAAGCAGAAUUGUGUAUCUCUUUCCACGGCUGAGGCCGAAUAUAUUACUGUUGGCGCUUGUUGCACUCAAUUAUUAUGGAUGAAGCAGACAUUGAAGGAUUAUGGCAUCAAGGUCAAGCAUAUUCCUCUGUAUUGUGACAAUGAGAGUGCCAUCAAAAUUGCACAUAAUCAUGUGUAUCAUUCUCGCACGAAGCACAUUGCCAUCAGACAUCAUUUUAUUCGCGAUCAUGUUGCUCAAGAGGAUAUUGUCAUCAAUCACGUCAAG
This 618-nucleotide ribosomal RNA is filed under the name Triticum aestivum (bread wheat). Its description in RNAcentral is "partial small subunit ribosomal RNA". The record is from RNAcentral. Lineage: Eukaryota; Viridiplantae; Streptophyta; Magnoliopsida; Poales; Poaceae.